AUGGUAUAACGGUAAAACGGUACUUUAAGAUUGUGGGAUGGGCUUCAAAGUAGCUGGGCCUUCUCUUCGCUUAAGGAGUUCCGGGAACUUUUGGGAAUUCCGGCAACUUGGGAAGUUGAGGCAUCGUCGGUAGCUCUGGCUUUGGAAUCUCUGGAACUGCAGGUUUUGUAAUUUCUGGAACCUUGGGCAGUUCAGGUUUUGGAACUUCUGGAAUCUUCGGCAGUUCAGGCUUUGGAAUCUCUGGAAACUUAGGAGCCUCAGACUUUGGAACCUCUGGAACCGUUGGCAAUUCGGGCUUUGGAACCUCUGGCACCUUCGGCAACUCAGGCUUCUGAAUCUCCGGCAUCUUGGGCAACUCGGGUUUCUGAAUCUCCGGCAUCUUAGGUAACUCCGGCAUUUUGGGCAACUCCGGCUUCUGGAUCUCCGGUACCUUAGGAGCCUCAAGCUUGGGAACUUCUGGCAACUUUGGCAACUCAGGUUUCUGAAUCUCCGGCAUCUUAGGUAACUCCGGCAUUUUGGGCAACUCCGGCUUCUGGAUCUCUGGUACCUUAGGAGCCUCAAGCUUGGGAACUUCUGGCAACUUUGGCAACUCAGGCUUUGGAAUCUCUGGCACCUUAGGAGCCUCAGGCUUUUCAGUCUCCAUUAGCUUAGGCACCUCAGGCUUUGAAUUCUCUGGAAACUUUGGCAAAUCAGGCUUUGGAAUCUCUGGAAACUUUGGUAAUUCAGGCUUUGGAAUCUCCGGCAUUUUUGGUAACUCGGGCUUCUGAAUCUCCGGUACCUUUGGUAACUCAG
This 792-nucleotide long non-coding RNA is filed under the name Arabidopsis thaliana (thale cress). RNAcentral describes it as "long non-coding RNA (ATHA_LNC000357)". The record is from RNAcentral. Lineage: Eukaryota; Viridiplantae; Streptophyta; Magnoliopsida; Brassicales; Brassicaceae.